RNAcentral lists this ribosomal RNA (564 nucleotides) under uncultured Acidobacteriota bacterium. RNAcentral describes it as "bacterial SSU rRNA". It matches the Rfam family "Bacterial small subunit ribosomal RNA", at positions 335 to 915 of the family's 1533-position model. Lineage: Bacteria; Pseudomonadati; Acidobacteriota. The record is from RNAcentral.
ACUCCUACGGGAGGCAGCAGUGGGGAAUCUUGCACAAUGGGGGAAACCCUGAUGCAGCGACGCCGCGUGAGCGAUGAAGCCCUUCGGGGUGUAAAGCUCUUUCGUCAGGGAAGAUAAUGACGGUACCUGGAGAAGCAGCUGCGGCUAACUACGUGCCAGCAGCCGCGGUAAUACAGAGGGUGCAAGCGUUGUUCGGAAUUAUUGGGCGUAAAGGGCGCGUAGGCGGUGCUGUAAGUCUGUGGUGAAAUCUCUGGGCUCAACUCAGAGUCUGCCAUAGAAACUGCAGUGCUGGAGUGUGGGAGAGGUGAGUGGAAUUCCCGGUGUAGCGGUGAAAUGCGUAGAUAUUGGGAAGAACACCAGUGGCGAAAGCGGCUCACUGGACCACAACUGACGCUGAGGCGCGAAAGCUAGGGGAGCAAACAGGAUUAGAUACCCUGGUAGUCCUAGCCCUAAACGAUGGAUACUUGGUGUGUCCGGGAUUGAAUCCGGGCGUGCCGAAGCUAACGCAUUAAGUAUCCCGCCUGGGGAGUACGGUCGCAAGGCUGAAACUUAAAGGAAUUGACG